UCUACUGUGAACUUCAUUUUAUUGUUUGAAAUUCAAAAAACACAAUCGGCCAUGUUUGUUAGUGAUGAUGACGUUUUCGUUGUAUGACGAUUCUGCUAGGUGUAAACGGGAACUUACCCUCCUCCAGUUAGUAUUGGGACAAAUUAUCCCGAUAUCGCAUAAUUAGAAUAAAAUCAUAGUAGUGGGUUUCCAAAUACAGCAACCUCCACGUGACACGCCAACGUUACAAAAGGAUAUAAAUGUGGGUAGAUGAAAAGUUUCAUAUUUUAUCGAUACCAGUCGCUGAAGUGACACAUGCUUCGAGCAAAUGGUGACGAACUGUCUUAAGAGAUAGGAAGAAGACGAAAAAAAUGACUUGAAGCCGUUCUUUCUGUCGGGGUUUUAAACGAAUGUUGCUGUUCCACGAGUUUACGAAGACUUCGGAGAACGAUUCUUUACCAAUUACAAGAAACCAGUGAGCAAGACGAAAACAUAGAGGGAGGGAAAGAAAAAGAGAUAGGGAAGUUAUUUGGAAGAGACAACAAAGAAUCGUCGUCAACUUGGCGAAUGUUUCGUAGCUUCGCCGAUGUAAAACUACAAAAUUUCUCACGUCUUGCGAUAUACGAAGGAACUUUCUUCUUUCUUCAAGAUAAUCCCUUUGAAGAAAAAAAGAAGUAGAAAAGACGGGAAAAAAAUUUUUUCUCUUCGUUGAUAUCAAGCGCAGCUUUAAAGGUAAAACUAAAAAUAUCAAAUUUGAGCUUUAAAAAUUAUUCGAAAAAAUAAUAGUAAAUUAUUACACGUGAAAAUUAAUGUUAGCAAUUACGAAAUCAUAUUAUUCAGACUUAAUAUUAAAAACUUGCCAAUUUAAGGAAUAUAAACAGAAAUGUACAAGAAACGCUGUAAAAAUUUCCACAUAAAGAAAAAAGAAAAUUAUUAUUUAAAGUAAAUUCCAGAAAUGUCAGGGUGAUAAAAAAGGGAUAAUCUUUAUAAAUAGAUUUUAUGUACUAUUAGAAGAAAAUUAAUCAGACACUGAAAUUGGUCUACAAGGAAAACAUCAAAAUAAGUUAACACAAAUCUGGGACAAAACUAGCAACAACCAUAAACAGGUUACUUCUACUAGUAUUGCAUAAUAAUAUAAAAAUGUCAAGCUGAGAGAUGUUAAACUCUCUAAUUAAAGAGAAUAAAAUAUUAUCUGAGAGAAACUGAGAUCUUUGCAACACAAAGGGAAUUCAUUACACAGGUACAUUUUUAAAAUAUGUGUUAGAUGUCACACUUUUUCAUAGAAGUAUGAUACCUUUGUAAUUAAAGCUUUUCAUAAAGAAACAGAAUCAAAUCUUAUAAUGUAAUUAAAGAGCUGAAAAAACGAGGAUUUAAAUCCAGCGACAAGAACCUUAUGAAAAUAUAAUCAGAGUCUUGUUUAUAAACACAAUGUCAAUAGAAGUACAACUUGAUCAAGUCAGAAAAAAGAUGAGAACCUUUUCUACUUAUGCUAUGUUUCUUGGAAAAUCUCUUAGAAAAACUAUAUUACACAACGACGAAUCUCUCAAUGCUACAAAUAUAAAAAACAGAGGCGAGUGACAAAAUAAAUAAUAUAAAAAUAUGUUUACUACGAAUAUCAAAAUAAAAUGAAGUAGAAAGGUUAAAAUGAUACGUAUGGAUUCAAAUAUACAAAUAGAUUGUAUAUUAAUAUUUAUUUACAAAGGACAAUAUAAAAUUGUAGCAAUAACAGGAAUAUAUAACCUCAACAAUGAGAAUAGCGCCCCUACAAAGAAACAGUAAUAAGGGAAAUUAUAAAUUCAAACAAUAAUAAUAUCAACGAUUUAAUAAUUCGGGUAGGUAAAAAAUGAAAAAUGGAUGCAAUUAAGGAAAGUACUACUACCAAAAAACGAAAACGAAUAGAAAAGCACAUUAAUACAAGCAUAAUAAUGAGAUUAAAAUACAAAUCAAUAUUGAAAUAGUCCAUUGAAAUACAAUUCGCAUUAAUUUAUUCUCCGUUUAAUUUUACAACAAAAUUUGUUUUCAGUAAUAGGGAGUAAUAACCAAACGAGGUUUUUUCCUUUCAUAUAGCUAAUAAGUGAUGCGAAGUUCGAAAUAAAAAUGAUACUUUAUCGUCAGUGACAAUGUGUCAUGAGCACCAAUGUAAAAUGCUGUUUAAAACAAAAAUAUCUAUGGAAUAUAAUAUAGUGCAGGAAAACUCAUUAAAUUUAUGAUAUAAAAGACUAGAUCCUAUAAAUAAAUAUCAUCAAGAAUAUCAGUAAAUUAAAUAUGGUAAAUGGAAUGACAAAUAAGGAAAAGACUGAAUUUUUCUGUAGAGCUUGUAUUUGGGAAAGCAAUCAAAAGAUAGCAUUAAGCACAAUGGAUAAAGCAGAAAAAUCGAAAGUGAUGAUUCACUUUGAUAUAUGUGGUUCGAUUAAUGUAAAAACUAUGGAUCAUGCACGUUAUUUCUUAUUAUUUAAUACUGUUCAUCACUCUUGAUUCUAUAAUGAUUUAUGCCAACAAUGAGAACAGGUGUAAUUCUUAACCUAUUUUGAUGAACAUGGUCUCAUUUUAAAAAUGAAGGUUUAAUCUAGGAUCCUUUUUUUUA
This is a long non-coding RNA of Vespula vulgaris, 2563 nucleotides long. RefSeq lists it as uncharacterized. The record is from RefSeq and is a predicted model, not a curated record. The transcript has 4 exons. Lineage: Eukaryota; Metazoa; Arthropoda; Insecta; Hymenoptera; Vespidae.